AGCUCCAAUAGCAUAAAUUAAAGUUGUUGCAGUUAAAAAGCUCAUAGUUGGAUUUCUGGCAGGAGCGACCGGUCACACACUCUGUGUGUGAACUUGUGUUGUCUCUGGCCAUCCUUGGGGAGAUCCUGUUUGACAUUAAGUUGUCGGGCAGGGGAUACCCAUCGUUUACUGUGAACAAAAUUGAGUGUUUAAAGUAGGCGUAUGCCGUUGAAUAUAUUAGCAUGGAAUAAUAAGAUAGGACUUCGGAACUAUUUUGUUGGUUUGCGUUACAAAGUAAUGAUUAAUAUGGACAGUUGGGGGUAUUCGUAUUUUGUUGUCAGAGGUGAAAUUCUUUGAUUUCCGAAAGACGAACUACUGCGAAAGCAUUUACCAAGGAUGUUUUCA
RNAcentral lists this ribosomal RNA (384 nucleotides) under uncultured eukaryote. RNAcentral describes it as "SSU rRNA". It matches the Rfam family "Eukaryotic small subunit ribosomal RNA", at positions 587 to 972 of the family's 1831-position model. The record is from RNAcentral.